GUGCCUACGGGGGGCAGCAGUGAGGAAUAUUGGUCAAUGGUCGGAAGGCUGAACCAGCCAAGCCGCGUGAAGGACGAAGGUGCCAAGCAUUGUAAACUUCUUUUGUCAAGGGACAAAAUCAGGCUCGAGAGCCUGACCGAGGGUACUUGAAGAAAAAGCAUCGGCUAACUCCGUGCCAGCAGCCGCGGUAAUACGGAGGAUGCGAGCGUUAUCCGGAUUUAUUGGGUUUAAAGGGUGCGUAGACGGUGCGCCAAGUCUGGAGUGAAAUGCCGCAGCUUAACUGCGGAACUGCUUUGGAAACUGGG
This 305-nucleotide ribosomal RNA is filed under the name uncultured bacterium. Its description in RNAcentral is "bacterial SSU rRNA". It matches the Rfam family "Bacterial small subunit ribosomal RNA", at positions 335 to 637 of the family's 1533-position model. The record is from RNAcentral.